RNAcentral lists this unclassified non-coding RNA (380 nucleotides) under Hevea brasiliensis (rubber tree). The record is from RNAcentral. Lineage: Eukaryota; Viridiplantae; Streptophyta; Magnoliopsida; Malpighiales; Euphorbiaceae.
AGAAAAAUGUUGAUGCUAUCAAGGUAUGCAGAUCAUAAUGCUCAUAUUCAAAUUGAAUGAUUUAAUAGCGAGGAGAAAAGGUAUUUGGUAUUCUUCAUAGAUAGAGGAGCAUAGUUGGAGUUGUUUCUAUGCAAGUCUUCUGGUGCAUCCAUGUGUCACAGACAAAUGCUUGUCCAGAACGCUGUGCUGUGCAAUCUGUUUCAAAUGAAGUGUGUAAGAGUAGAUACAAUGCAUAUGCUAUGAGCCUUUAACCUUUGGAAAUUUAAUUUCCAAUUAUCUUAGUAAUGUUUUCUUGAAAUUUACUCCACCUGCCAUUUACUUGGGGUUCUAAUGUUGGAUUUUGAUUUUCGUUGUUUAUAGGCAAUAGUCACAAUUGCUGA